RNA transcript from Balaenoptera acutorostrata (minke whale), 331 nucleotides. RefSeq lists it as uncharacterized. Lineage: Eukaryota; Metazoa; Chordata; Mammalia; Artiodactyla; Balaenopteridae. The record is from RefSeq and is a predicted model, not a curated record. The transcript has 3 exons.
ACACGCCUCCCGGCUCCAGCCCUUUGGUGCACCCACCCCCUGUGCGGGCUCUCGCGGGGCCGCAAGCCGCCAGCGGGUCAGGUGCAGCUCGGAGCAGCGCUCGAAGCUGCCCAAGGACACAGCUUUGAGAUAGUCAUGUGGUGCUGAGACCAUCUGGACGUUGUACAUGAUGGAGCCCAGUUCAGUCCUCUGUAUAAACUUCAAGAUUCUGGCAGGCGGGUGUGGAGAUCUGUUCAUCUUGCGGCCACCCAAGACAAGCUUGUCCUGGAGGCCGGAAGUCUGAGAUCAGGGUGCCAGCAUGAUGAAGGCCUUCUUCCUGGUUCACAGCCAG